CAAAUGGCAGAGUCUUGGAUACAGGG
RNAcentral lists this non-coding RNA (26 nucleotides) under Homo sapiens (human). The record is from RNAcentral. Lineage: Eukaryota; Metazoa; Chordata; Mammalia; Primates; Hominidae.